Oxyura jamaicensis (ruddy duck) is the source of this 1203-nucleotide long non-coding RNA. RefSeq lists it as uncharacterized. The transcript has 2 exons. The record is from RefSeq and is a predicted model, not a curated record. NCBI's taxonomy places the organism in Eukaryota, Metazoa, Chordata, Aves, Anseriformes, Anatidae.
AGCAGCAAAGACAGGCACGUACUCUGAAAGCACACAGUGAGCACCACUCAGUUUCCAGCAGACACACUAUAUAAUUACUGGAAUUCACCACCCUGUUGGCACUAUGGAAAGCAGAUCCAUAACAGAAGCAUGGGGAGCUGAGCACAAGUAUUUCAUUUUUAAAGAAAAGAAAGAAAAAUGUGAAUGCGAGGAAAUGACGACAUAUCUGUGCUGGGAAAUCCAGAUGGGACUUCUCUGACUACAGUGUCGCACGUCAUCUUGGAUAAUGACCAGCUUUGGUGCACACCCAACACUGGAGUGCAUAAGCACAUCUUCCUAGGAAGACACAGCAUGCUCUGCUAUUAUCUUUAAUUAGUUUCCACAGUAGACUCUAACACUCAAACUUUCUCUCUGCAUUUUUCUCCGUUAGCUAGCUUGAAUCAGUAAACACAGAAGUCAAGUAUUCAAUACCAAGCUUACUCAGGCUGAGACAGAAGAAAGCCACUGGCUAGAAACAAAGUCAAAAAAUAAUCUGUCGCCCAUACUACAAAAAAGUAGGUCAGCUUUCAUUCCCAGCAAGUAUCAACACACUACCACAUUAAAUGCCUUUAUGACAGAUUUGUAUCACACUGAAGAGUUUUCCUCUUAUCUCUUAGUCUGAUUAAUCAACAGCUGCCAAAUGCAGAAGUUAAUGAUUCCCAUUUUCUUCAACUUCUAGCCUUAUAUAAAUCACAGUUUUGUCUUUAUCUGACCUGAUAAACAUUUUCCAUUGUUCUCAGUUUAUGAAGGAACUUAGAAAUAAAUUUAAAAGUGCAGGUCCUGAAAGAAGAGCAGGGGAAAGAAACAAAAGCAGGAUACAACAGUGGGUAGAGUGGAGAGUGAAGCCUUUUCAGAGUACAGGCACGCAGUAUCAAGGAAAUACAAUCAGUUAUUUGCUCUGCAUGCUAAUGACACGGCAGGUUCAGCUUUCGCAUCACAGCCAUCGGUCUAUCAGCCUCCAACCCCUUUGCAAGAAAUUCUUUUAUUGUUUCAAGCCGUGCAGGGAGAAGGAGCAUGCUGCCUGAGAUACAGGACCAUCUCACCCCGUGAAGGUGUAUUUCUUGCAUGCUGAUCCAGGGGGCCGAAUAGACGCGCUUCACUGCUCUGAGCAGGUGGACUUGUAUAUGGUUGCUCAUCUUCACAGGGUGGGAAGAAGGCAUAAUAAAAAUGAAGUGACCAAAUAUU